Molecule: ribosomal RNA, 503 nt
Filed under: uncultured bacterium
Lineage: Bacteria
Description: bacterial SSU rRNA
Rfam family: Bacterial small subunit ribosomal RNA
Source: RNAcentral
AAUGAACGCUGGCGGCGUGCCUAACACAUGCAAGUCGGAUGUGCCCGCAAGGGUGCAUGGCAGACGGGUGAGUAACGCGUGGGGAAUCUACCUCUUUGUGGGGAAUAACGCUCCGAAAGGAGUGGUAAUACCGCAUGAGACCAAUGGCUGGAAUGUUGUUGGUGAAACCUGGGGACCGCAAGGCCUGGGGCAAGGAGAGGAUCCUGCGUCUGAUUAGCUAGUUGGCGGGGUAACGGCCCACCAAGGCGACGAUCAGUAGCCGGCCUGAGAGGGUGAUCGGCCACACUGGAACUGAGACACGGUCCAGACUCCUACGGGAGGCAGCAGUGGGGAAUUUUGCGCAAUGGGCGAAAGCCUGACGCAGCAACGCCGCGUGGGUGAUGAAGGUCUUCGGAUCGUAAAACCCUGUCGUCGGGGACGAAGGUAAUUCGGUUAACAACUGAGUUGCUUGACGGUACCCGGAGAGGAAGCCCCGGCUAACUCUGUGCCAGCAGCCGCGGUAA